RNAcentral lists this unclassified non-coding RNA (377 nucleotides) under Hevea brasiliensis (rubber tree). The record is from RNAcentral. Lineage: Eukaryota; Viridiplantae; Streptophyta; Magnoliopsida; Malpighiales; Euphorbiaceae.
UUUAUUAGUUAUUUAGAUAGUUUUCCAUAAUUGUCAAUUUUUGGGUUAAUUUAUGAUUUUGUUUUUUUUAUAGGUACAAUGAUAUUUUUUAGGGACUAAAAAGAAAUUAUGCCAAUGAGGAGUGAUUCCUAUAGCCAAAGAUAUCAAAAACAAAGCUUGGAAGUUGAAAAAUGCAAAGUGGCCAAAAACUACAUAACUUAUAUAGUCUCGCACUCUGCUUAUGCAGCUUCAGGGAGAAAGCCCUUAAACCUGUCGAAAACUGCAUUAGCUACUGCAUAACUUAUGUAGUCUCAUGCCUCACUUAUGCAACAUCACGGGAAGCACCUGGAAUCACCAAAUUUGCUCAGAAUCUACAUAGGAAGCUUGCACAACUUAUG